Molecule: long non-coding RNA, 278 nt
Filed under: Gossypium raimondii (Peruvian cotton)
Lineage: Eukaryota; Viridiplantae; Streptophyta; Magnoliopsida; Malvales; Malvaceae
Description: long non-coding RNA (GRAI_LNC010269)
Source: RNAcentral
AUCAACUAGCCCCUGGUUAUACUCAAACCCGUGACCACUUCACGACCGUCAACUAGGACCUCCACUUAGUCUUCGACUCGAGACCAUAUCAAGCACUAUCAUCUCAAAACUUGACUUUCAUAAGAUGAGUUUCUAAGGUAAUGGUAUUAUCUCGACAUGACAUAUGAAGUGUAUGUGUUCUAAGGCACGUUACCGUAUCCCCGACCCCUCAAAUCUACCUAUAAUUUUUACAAUUUAAACCCUAAAAACCCAACCCUAACAAAAAUAAAAAACCCUAA